GCUAUUAUAUACAAUUUUCUCUUGAUUUUAUUAUGUGGGCCUAUACUAAUUUUACUCUUGUUUUCUCUUCUUUAUGUUAAAUUUGUCUGGGUCUUAUGGACCCCAUCCUCACAUUUUCAUUUGGACCAUGGAGGACCCACUUGUGCUCUUCCGAGUCAACUAGUCAUUAAAUCGACGGACAGGUCCCGAAGUUUAAGGAAUUGAAGAAAGUCGAAGAAGUUAGAUUAGAAGACCCCUUUAUUUUCGUAUGUUGUAUUUUUAUUAUGUCAUGGGCCUAAGCCCUUGCCGCU
This 290-nucleotide unclassified non-coding RNA is filed under the name Hevea brasiliensis (rubber tree). The record is from RNAcentral. Lineage: Eukaryota; Viridiplantae; Streptophyta; Magnoliopsida; Malpighiales; Euphorbiaceae.